CUAGGAUGAACGCUGGCGGCGUGCCUAACACAUGCAAGUCGAGCGGAGAUAGUUGAAGCCUAGCGAUGACUAUCUUAGCGGCGGAUGGGUGAGUAACACGUGGGUAACCUGCCCUGUACUGGGGAAUAACAGCUGGAAACGACUGUUAAUGCCGCAUAUGCGCACGGAGCCGCAUGACUCUGGGCGGAAAGAUUUAUCGGUACAGGAUGGGCCCGCGCCGGAUUAACUAGUUGGCGGGGUAACGGCCCACCAAGGUGAUGAUCCGUAGCCGACCUGAGAGGGUGACCGGCCACAUUGGGACUGAGACACGGCCCAAACUCCUACGGGAGGCAGCAGUGGGGGAUAUUGCACAAUGGGGGAAACCCUGAUGCAGCGACGCCGCGUGAAGGAUGACGUAUUUCGGUAUGUAAACUUCUAUCAGCGGGGAAGAAGAUGACGGUACCCGACUAAGAAGCCCCGGCUAACUACGUGCCAGCCGCCGC
RNAcentral lists this ribosomal RNA (482 nucleotides) under uncultured bacterium. RNAcentral's name for it is "bacterial SSU rRNA". It matches the Rfam family "Bacterial small subunit ribosomal RNA", at positions 26 to 518 of the family's 1533-position model. The record is from RNAcentral.